Molecule: ribosomal RNA, 253 nt
Filed under: uncultured bacterium
Lineage: Bacteria
Description: partial 16S ribosomal RNA
Rfam family: Bacterial small subunit ribosomal RNA
Source: RNAcentral
UACGAAGGGGGCUAGCGUUGUUCGGAAUUACUGGGCGUAAAGGGCGCGUAGGCGGUGUGUCAAGUCAGGCGUGAAAGCCCCGGGCUCAACCUGGGAACCGCGCUUGAGACUGGCACGCUCGAGUUCGGGAGAGGAUGGUGGAAUUCCCAGUGUAGAGGUGAAAUUCGUAGAUAUCGGGAGGAACACCAGUGGCGAAGGCGGCGAUCUGGGAAGAUACUGACGCUGAGGUGCGAAAGCGUGGGGAGCAAACAGG